AAAAAAAUAGAUGUGUUGAUUUUAAUGAUAAAAUUAGUAUCAUUUACUUAAAUACCAUUAUUUAUUAUAGAUAUUGAAGUAGUUGAAAAACAGUGAAAAUUAGUAAAUAGAGUUAUAUUAGUGAAAAAAAUAAUAAAUGUUGUAUUAAUAUUUUAAAGAGACAUUUAUUUGAAGACAUGAAAAAAUACAAAAAAGAUACUUUUCAUGAGACGUAGUGAAUAGUUGUUUGAAUCAUUAUUUAUGGAUACAUAAAUAGUAUUGUUG
RNAcentral lists this long non-coding RNA (264 nucleotides) under Lathyrus oleraceus (garden pea). RNAcentral describes it as "Pisum sativum (pea) long non-coding RNA (PSAT_LNC021838)". Lineage: Eukaryota; Viridiplantae; Streptophyta; Magnoliopsida; Fabales; Fabaceae. The record is from RNAcentral.